GGCAGAAGUUCUGGCGGCGGCGCUCGCGGCCCUGCGCGCCGGAGGGGGCGCCCGGAGUCCAGCGGGCCAAGAAGGGCAGGGCGCCCGCUCCUCGCCCCCCGCCGCGCCGCGGCCCCAGGGGACCGCAAGGGGACAGUGAGGGGCCGGGCCUGGCACCGACGCAAGCUCGGGGAGCGCGGGUGGUGGGAGGCGGCGCGUGUUGAACAGGAAGUGCGCGGCGUGCAGCGCCACCGUCCCGCUCCCCGUCGCCCCACGCCGCCCUCGUCGCCGCGCCCAGACCCCUGCGGCGGCCGCAGCCGCUUGGGACUCGCUGCGAGCUGGUUUCGGAUCCAUCCCGCCUCCCGGCGUCUCACUGUGUGCCCUACCCUUUGAAACACGCCCCCGCGCCCGCCCUGCCGUAGACCAGGCAGCGAGGAAGCCCACAGUCUCCGGGGGCGCUGCGCGCGAAGUAGCACGUGCUUCUCGAAACACCGCAGCCCCCGGGUCCCGCCCCGCCCGGCGCGCGCACUCGAACCCGCCCAGAGAGCGGUGCGUGGCGCUGGGUGCGAGCAGGGUCUAGCCACCCCCACCCUCACCCCACCCCACCCCACCCUGCUUUUUUCAGGUUCAUCAAGGUUUGCGCAGUGGAUCCGCGGUAAGUGCGUGUCCCCACGCCGCGGGAAACGUGGGGCUCCUGAGACUGCGGAAAGAAUUGGGAGAAGGGGAGGGCUCGAAGACCCGGGCGAGGGUUCCCGGUGCGGCCCAGGUCCUUUAGAGCCCCGGGUGGGCAUCCAGUACCGCCUGCUGCCGAGGGCCCUAGAGGGGUUGGGGGAGGGGGCUGGUGUGUCCCCCACCCCCAGAUGCGCCCCAGGAUGGCGCGACCUCGGCUCCCUGGUGGAAAGUAGGGGGAGUGCUGGCUUGGGGGUCGCUUCCCCUCCUGCUCUAGUUUCUGAGGAUGUGAUGACCCCAAAGGUCAUUGGCGCUCCCAGAAUGCUGACGUCAGCUCAGCCGCUCCGAGUAAUCAGUAAUGCAGGGAGGCCACCCGCAGAAAGAACGCGACAGGGGUCGCUUUGGGGACACCAUAGGGCCUUUACUCCUUUUGAGGUGCGUGCUUUCGCAGGACUCCCUCCCCAGAGGAGGAGGCAUGAUCAGCCCACCCAAAGGAUCAUCUCUUAGGAAGCAGGCGUGCGCCCACGCAGGGAGAAGCAUCCUUCCUUUCAGCUGCUUGCCGGGUGGCUUUUCCAACCCGAGUUCCAGCAGCUUGCACAAAAUCCUUACAGCUUGGGUGGUUCCCUGGCUCAUAGGGGUGGGUUUAUAUUCUUUCUCCUUCUCCUCUGCUCUCUGGUCCAGAAUGAAGCCAGCCUGGAAGAUCCCCAGUCUCGAGACAGAGCCUGACAGGGGCAGAUGCACUGGAAGGACCCUGUCUGGGUUUAGCAACCAAGCAGCCAUCCUGGCCCCACAGGUGUGGGACUUCUGGGUCUUCUCCUGGCUGGCUUCUUGCUAGAGGAUUUCAAGAGACCCAGCAAGACUGUAUUGUCCCACUGAAUGCUCAAGAUAUUGGUUAGAAGUAGAAAAGGGGAGGGGGUAGUAUUUAGCCUCUGUCCCCACUAAAAAUUAUUCCCAAUUGUCAUUUGUGUCAUCUGUUUAGCUUACAGUUUUAAUCCUUGUCAAAAUGAUCAUUUGCCAGGGUGCAUAAAACACCCUAUUUGAUGAGAACUGGUUUUAAAGGAAAAUGGGGCCAUCAGAAGGAAGCCGGUUGGUGUGAAGAGACGUCUGGGAAGAGCCCCUGGCGAGGGCCCUCAUUCCACUGGGUGACCCAGAAGGAGAAAACCGCGAUGGCGCUUCUCAUUUGAAAUGUUUUCUUUAUGGACAGUGUUUAGCAAUUGUUAUAAUGUGUACUUUUGUUGAUUGAUCUGUAUACAUAUGUAAAAUAAUUUGUUCUCUGAGUUAAUUUUGUUGGAACAAAGACUUUAGUGCUUCCUACAUUAAAACAUUUUACUGUAUUGCCUGCAUUUUAAGAGCCUUUUUUUAAUUUUUAAUUUUUUUGGUCCUUGUGAUAUGACGAGGUAUAAAUUCUGGGUUUUGUCCAGGGUUCCUGGCUUAGCACUCUCGUCGCCCUCAUCACAGUCUCUUGUUAUAAUGUUGGGGCGCUUUAGGCCUCAGACACCCCAGGAAACAAUCUCCUCUGAACUUCCCCUGCCCUCCUUCACCACCUCACCAGCCCAAGGCAGGACUCUAA
This 2218-nucleotide long non-coding RNA is filed under the name Homo sapiens (human). RNAcentral describes it as "non-protein coding PRKAG2-AS1:6". Lineage: Eukaryota; Metazoa; Chordata; Mammalia; Primates; Hominidae. The record is from RNAcentral.